Molecule: ribosomal RNA, 303 nt
Filed under: uncultured bacterium
Lineage: Bacteria
Description: partial 16S ribosomal RNA
Rfam family: Bacterial small subunit ribosomal RNA
Source: RNAcentral
AGCAGUCGCCACGGGAAUACAGAGGGUGCAAGCGUUAAUCGGAAUUACUGGGCGUAAAGCGCGCGUAGGUGGUUUGUUAAGUUGGAUGUGAAAGCCCCGGGCUCAACCUGGGAACUGCAUCCAAAACUGGCAAGCUAGAGUACGGUAGAGGGUGGUGGAAUUUCCUGUGUAGCGGUGAAAUGCGUAGAUAUAGGAAGGAACACCAGUGGCGAAGGCGACCACCUGGACUGAUACUGACACUGAGGUGCGAAAGCGUGGGGAGCAAACAGGAUUAGAUACCCCGGUAGUCCCUGUCUCUUAUAC